CCUACGGGGGGCAGCAGUGGGGAAUAUUGGACAAUGGGGGGAACCCUGAUCCAGCCAUGCCGCGUGUGUGAAGAAGGCCCUCGGGUUGUAAAGCACUUUCAGUGAGGAAGAACGCCUGGUGGUUAAUACCCAUCAGGAAAGACAUCACUCACAGAAGAAGCACCGGCUAACUCCGUGCCAGCAGCCGCGGUAAUACGGAGGGUGCGAGCGUUAAUCGGAAUUACUGGGCGUAAAGCGCGCGUAGGUGGCUUGAUAAGCCGGUUGUGAAAGCCCCGGGCUCAACCUGGGAACGGCAUCCGGAACUGUCAAGCUAGAGUGCAGGAGAGGAAGGUAGAAUUCCCGGUGUAGCGGUGAAAUGCGUAGAGAUCGGGAGGAAUACCAGUGGCGAAGGCGGCCUUCUGGACUGACACUGACACUGAGGUGCGAAAGCGUGGGUAGCAAACAGGAUUAGAUACCCGGGUGGUC
Molecule: ribosomal RNA, 465 nt
Filed under: Vreelandella stevensii
Lineage: Bacteria; Pseudomonadati; Pseudomonadota; Gammaproteobacteria; Oceanospirillales; Halomonadaceae
Description: partial 16S ribosomal RNA
Rfam family: Bacterial small subunit ribosomal RNA
Source: RNAcentral